RNAcentral lists this ribosomal RNA (1452 nucleotides) under uncultured organism. RNAcentral describes it as "SSU rRNA". It matches the Rfam family "Bacterial small subunit ribosomal RNA". The record is from RNAcentral.
UGAACGCUAGCUACAGGCUUAACACAUGCAAGUCGAGGGGCAGCAUGGUCUUAGCUUGCUAAGGCCGAUGGCGACCGGCGCACGGGUGAGUAACACGUAUCCAACCUGCCGUCUACUCUUGGACAGCCUUCUGAAAGGAAGAUUAAUACAAGAUGGCAUCAUGAGUCCGCAUGUUCACAUGAUUAAAGGUAUUCCGGUAGACGAUGGGGAUGCGUUCCAUUAGAUAGUAGGCGGGGUAACGGCCCACCUAGUCUUCGAUGGAUAGGGGUUCUGAGAGGAAGGUCCCCCACAUUGGAACUGAGACACGGUCCAAACUCCUACGGGAGGCAGCAGUGAGGAAUAUUGGUCAAUGGGCGAGAGCCUGAACCAGCCAAGUAGCGUGAAGGAUGACUGCCCUAUGGGUUGUAAACUUCUUUUAUAAAGGAAUAAAGUCGGGUAUGGAUACCCGUUUGCAUGUACUUUAUGAAUAAGGAUCGGCUAACUCCGUGCCAGCAGCCGCGGUAAUACGGAGGAUCCGAGCGUUAUCCGGAUUUAUUGGGUUUAAAGGGAGCGUAGAUGGAUGUUUAAGUCAGUUGUGAAAGUUUGCGGCUCAACCGUAAAAUUGCAGUUGAUACUGGAUAUCUUGAGUGCAGUUGAGGCAGGCGGAAUUCGUGGUGUAGCGGUGAAAUGCUUAGAUAUCACGAAGAACUCCGAUUGCGAAGGCAGCCUGCUAAGCUGCAACUGACAUUGAGGCUCGAAAGUGUGGGUAUCAAACAGGAUUAGAUACCCUGGUAGUCCACACGGUAAACGAUGAAUACUCGCUGUUUGCGAUAUACGGCAAGCGGCCAAGCGAAAGCGUUAAGUAUUCCACCUGGGGAGUACGCCGGCAACGGUGAAACUCAAAGGAAUUGACGGGGGCCCGCACAAGCGGAGGAACAUGUGGUUUAAUUCGAUGAUACGCGAGGAACCUUACCCGGGCUUAAAUUGCAGAUGAAUUACGGUGAAAGCCGUAAGCCGCAAGGCAUCUGUGAAGGUGCUGCAUGGUUGUCGUCAGCUCGUGCCGUGAGGUGUCGGCUUAAGUGCCAUAACGAGCGCAGCCCUUGUUGUCAGUUACUAACAGGUUCCGCUGAGGACUCUGACAAGACUGCCAUCGUAAGAUGUGAGGAAGGUGGGGAUGACGUCAAAUCAGCACGGCCCUUACGUCCGGGGCUACACACGUGUUACAAUGGGGGGUACAGAGGGCCGCUACCACGCGAGUGGAUGCCAAUCCCCAAAACCUCUCUCAGUUCGGACUGGAGUCUGCAACCCGACUCCACGAAGCUGGAUUCGCUAGUAAUCGCGCAUCAGCCACGGCGCGGUGAAUACGUUCCCGGGCCUUGUACACACCGCCCGUCAAGCCAUGGGAGCCGGGGGUACCUGAAGUGCGUAACCGCGAGGAGCGCCCUAGGGUAAAACUGGUGACUGGGGCUAAGU